UAACCCUAACCCCUUGGUGAUCGACGGCAACCCCUUUCCCUCCCUCGAAGCCUCUCCUGCUCGAGCAAUCCUACCUCCAUCUUGUAUCUCGGCUUUGACUGAUUAAGUGUGAACAAGUAUCUUAUCUUACCGAGCAAAUCAAAGGUCCAUAGGGUUAUAUCAUCUGGAACUUGCUGUCUAGAAGGCUGGAGUGGUCAUGGGUCGAGAAACAUGGAAUCGCAACACAAGUCUAAUGGUUUACGUACGCGUGGUUUAUGAAACACUUAACAAAUGAGUUAUGCUUUCACUGUGUACAAUGAAUUAUAUGUAACGUUUUGUAAUACUUUAUGUUAAUGAAUGAAAACU
Long non-coding RNA from Helianthus annuus (common sunflower), 345 nucleotides. RefSeq lists it as uncharacterized. The record is from RefSeq and is a predicted model, not a curated record. The transcript has 3 exons. Lineage: Eukaryota; Viridiplantae; Streptophyta; Magnoliopsida; Asterales; Asteraceae.